RNAcentral lists this ribosomal RNA (497 nucleotides) under uncultured bacterium. RNAcentral's name for it is "partial 16S ribosomal RNA". It matches the Rfam family "Bacterial small subunit ribosomal RNA", at positions 28 to 507 of the family's 1533-position model. The record is from RNAcentral.
GAUGAACGCUGGCGGCGUGCCUAAUACAUGCAAGUCGAGCGAACAGAUAAGGAGCUUGCUCCUUUGACGUUAGCGGCGGACGGGUGAGUAACACGUGGGUAACCUACCUAUAAGACUGGGAUAACUUCGGGAAACCGGAGCUAAUACCGGAUAACAUUUGGAACCGCAUGGUUCUAAAGUGAAAGAUGGUUUUGCUAUCACUUAUAGAUGGACCCGCGCCGUAUUAGCUAGUUGGUAAGGUAACGGCUUACCAAGGCAACGAUACGUAGCCGACCUGAGAGGGUGAUCGGCCACACUGGAACUGAGACACGGUCCAGACUCCUACGGGAGGCAGCAGUAGGGAAUCUUCCGCAAUGGGCGAAAUCCUGACGGAGCAACGCCGCGUGAGUGAUGAAGGGUUUCGGCUCGUAAAACUCUGUUAUUAGGGAAGAACAAACGUGUAAGUAACUGUGCACGUCUUGACGGUACCUAAUCAGAAAGCCACGGCUAACUACGUG